UGUCUAGAACGUUUGGUUCCAGAACAUUCACUGUGUCUGCUCUUUUUUCUUCUGUUUGUUUCUUCAUCACAAAAGUAUCUCUUUCCAGAUCUGCUUUUCUUUCUAAACAUGUUGAAAAUUUCUUUAUGGGAUAAUUUGUUGCGGCCGAUUCUCUUCUUUGUCGUCCAACUUGGUUCUGCCAAUUCCCUGUCAAACCUGAUGUAGAAGCAACUGGCGACUUCAAACUUGCUAAAGCCAACCGAAGUUAGUGGAAAGAUAUGUUUGAAGAAGUUUAGACUCGAACCAUCCAAUAUUUGCCGCAAAGGCUACUAAGACAAACAUAAUCAAAUAAUCUGAAUGCAAAUUCUGCUUGACCAAGUCACAGUUAAAAUUCAAAAUUGAGGAAGAAUGAAUGUGAAUGAAGCCCUCUUCGUUAGAAGAAGACUCAAGAUCUAACGUCUGCAAAUGCAGCUUCACUACUUCCGUAUUUGGGACUGCUGGGUUGGAGCAAGAAAUUGAAAACUUGAAAAAGAAGUUGGCUACUGCACAAGAGAAAAUAGAAAUAUUCAAAAAGAGUUAUCAAAGGCUUAUAAUAUUAUAUUAAAGUUAGAACUACUACUAUCUCUUUAACAUCGCUUGCAUGAUCACGUUAACAUUUGAUACUGGCUUCAAUUCAAGGUGAAAUUCAAUUUUAUUUUUACGUGUAAUUUUUUAUUUUUUAUUUUGGCUGGUUCAAUUGAUAUAAUAAUUUUUUUUAAACUGAUAUAGGAUUGAAGAGCUGACUCAUGAACUUUCUGAACAAAAAAGCUAACUACCACUCUUUGAAUUGAUCUAGAAAACUAGGAAAAACUUAAUGAGACUUUCAAAGAGGUAGUUCUAAAUUUCUACAUGAAUUUCUAUCAACGUGAUGAGCAUUUUUAAUCUGUAAUAUACACAUAUUUAUUUUAGUACUUAAAUGACAAAAUUCUUUGGUGAUGAUAGAUUGUCAAUAAAUUUUAUGACAUCAAGCAACAUUGCAUCAAGAAUUUUGCAGAUACAAGCUGGGAAGAUAAAUGUGUCUCUUGGACAAUUCACCUGAAACGUGAAAUUCGCAAAGCGACUACAAACUUCUCUUGCUUCAAGUAAGUAAGACCAAUAAUCUAUUGAUUUUGAAUGAAUUUGUUCUGCUCAACGAAAAAGAAAGAAACAUUAGUUGUGAAACUACGAUAGUUCCUGCAAUUUAGUCCUUGACCUAUGACCAAUUAGUUAGAUUCGUAAAUGGGUCAAGUAAAUGACGAUGCUAUUCAUUAAUUUUCGUAUUGUUUCAAAAUAUUUACCGACUUCUCAUUUCGAUAAUAAUUUGAAGUUGUCAA
Olea europaea var. sylvestris is the source of this 1331-nucleotide long non-coding RNA. RefSeq lists it as uncharacterized. NCBI's taxonomy places the organism in Eukaryota, Viridiplantae, Streptophyta, Magnoliopsida, Lamiales, Oleaceae. The record is from RefSeq and is a predicted model, not a curated record. The transcript is spliced from 3 exons.